ACACUUAAGAUGUCUGAAAUAGAUAUCUAAAAUUGUAAAGUGUGGAUGCAACAAACAAACCUAUAAUACAGGAACACUCACCCGUAUUCCUGGACUGGCUACAGCUUCGUGUCAAUAUCUGCUGGGCAGCUGCUCUGAGAAUAACAAUGGCAUGAUGAGGUGGAAACUAAGUUUUUCCAAGUAAUACUUCGGCCCCAGUCACACUAGCGAGAAAAGCCAU
Molecule: long non-coding RNA, 220 nt
Organism: Gekko japonicus
Lineage: Eukaryota; Metazoa; Chordata; Lepidosauria; Squamata; Gekkonidae
Exons: 3
Source: RefSeq, a predicted model, not a curated record